RNAcentral lists this transfer RNA (70 nucleotides) under Salmo salar (Atlantic salmon). It matches the Rfam family "tRNA". From Rfam's summary of the family: Transfer RNA (tRNA) molecules are approximately 80 nucleotides in length. Their secondary structure includes four short double-helical elements and three loops (D, anti-codon, and T loops). Further hydrogen bonds mediate the characteristic L-shaped molecular structure. tRNAs have two regions of fundamental functional importance: the anti-codon, which is responsible for specific mRNA codon recognition, and the 3' end, to which the tRNAs corresponding amino acid is attached (by aminoacyl-tRNA synthetases). tRNAs cope with the degeneracy of the genetic code in two manners: having more than one tRNA (with a specific anti-codon) for a particular amino acid; and 'wobble' base-pairing, i.e. permitting non-standard base-pairing at the 3rd anti-codon position. The record is from Rfam by way of RNAcentral. Lineage: Eukaryota; Metazoa; Chordata; Actinopteri; Salmoniformes; Salmonidae. RNAcentral also lists the same sequence under 1 other name.
UCCCGUGUGGCUCAGUUGGUAGAGCAUGGUGUUUGCAACGCCAGGGUUGUGGGUUCAAUUCCCACGGGAG